Molecule: non-coding RNA, 106 nt
Organism: Pelobates cultripes (western spadefoot toad)
Lineage: Eukaryota; Metazoa; Chordata; Amphibia; Anura; Pelobatidae
Source: the annotation of a GenBank genome assembly
GUCUCUGCAUGUAUGUGUCUGUGUGUGUGUCUCUGUAUGUAUGUGUCUGUAUCACACAUACAUACAGACACAAACACAUACAGACACAUACAUACAGACAUACACA